AGAGUUUGAUCCUGGCUCAGGAUGAACGCUGGCGGUAUGCUUAACACAUGCAAGUCGAACGAAAGCCUAUGUGCUUUAGUGGCGAACGGGUGCGUAAUACGUGAGAAUCUGCCCUUAGGAGGAGAAUAACUUCUGGAAACGGUUGCUAAGUCUCCAUAUGCCGAGAGGUAAAAUAGUUUAGACUGCCUAGGGAUGAGCUCACGCCUGAUUAGCUUGUUGGUAAGGUAAUGGCUUACCAAGGCCACGAUCAGUAGCUGGUUUGAGAGAACGAUCAGCCACACUGGGACUGAGACACGGCCCAGACUCCUCCGGGAGGCAGCAGUGAGGAAUUUUCCGCAAUGGGCGAAAGCCUGACGGAGCAAUACCGCGUGAGGGAUGAAGGAUUUUGGUCUGUAAACCUCUUUUCUCAAGAAAGAAGUUCUGACGGUACUUGAGGAAUAAGCAUCGGCUAACUCCGUGCCAGCAGCCGCGGUAAUACGGGGGAUGCAAGCGUUAUCCGGAAUCAUUGGGCGUAAAGCGCGCGUAGGCGGAUUGGAAAGUUGGGGGUGAAAUCCCAGGGCUCAACCCUGGAACUGCCUCCAAAACUCCCAGUCUAGAGUUCGAGAGAGGUGAGUGGAAUUCCAAGUGUAGAGGUGAAAUUCGUAGAUAUUUGGAGGAACACCAGUGGCGAAGGCGGCUCACUGGCUCGAUACUGACGCUGAGGUGCGAAAGUGUGGGGAGCAAACAGGAUUAGAUACCCUGGUAGUCCACACCGUAAACGAUGAAUGCCAGUCGUCGGGUAGUAUACUAUUCGGUGACACACCUAACGGAUUAAGCAUUCCGCCUGGGGAGUACGGUCGCAAGAUUAAAACUCAAAGGAAUUGACGGGGGCCCGCACAAGCGGUGGAGCAUGUGGUUUAAUUCGAAGCAACGCGCAGAACCUUACCAACCCUUGACAUACUCGUCGUCGCUCCAGAGAUGGAGCUCUCAGCUAGGCUGGACGAGAUACAGGUGCUGCAUGGCUGUCGUCAGCUCGUGUCGUGAGAUGUUCGGUUAAGUCCGGCAACGAGCGCAACCCACAUCCCUAGUUGCCAGCAGUUCGGCUGGGCACUCUAUGGAAACUGCCCGUGAUAAGCGGGAGGAAGGUGUGGAUGACGUCAAGUCCUCAUGGCCCUUACGGGUUGGGCUACACACGUGCUACAAUGGCAGUGACAAUGGGAUAAUCCCAAAAAACUGUCUCAGUUCGGAUUGGGGUCUGCAACUCGACCCCAUGAAGUCGGAAUCGCUAGUAAUCGCGUAACAGCAUGACGCGGUGAAUACGUUCCCGGGCCUUGUACACACCGCCCGUCACACCAUGGGAGUUGGUUCUACCCGACGACGCUGCGCUAACCCUUCGGGGAGGCAGGCGGCCACGGUAGGAUCAGCGACUGGGGUGAAGUCGUAACAAGGUAACC
Molecule: ribosomal RNA, 1433 nt
Filed under: uncultured bacterium
Lineage: Bacteria
Description: bacterial SSU rRNA
Rfam family: Bacterial small subunit ribosomal RNA
Source: RNAcentral